GACGAACGCUGGCGGCGUGCUUAACACAUGCAAGUCGAACGGAAAGGCCCUGCUUUUGUGGGGUGCUCGAGUGGCGAACGGGUGAGUAACACGUGAGUAACCUGCCCUUGACUUUGGGAUAACUUCAGGAAACUGGGGCUAAUACCGGAUAGGAGCUCCUGCUGCAUGGUGGGGGUUGGAAAGUUUCGGCGGUUGGGGAUGGACUCGCGGCUUAUCAGCUUGUUGGUGGGGUAGUGGCUUACCAAGGCUUUGACGGGUAGCCGGCCUGAGAGGGUGACCGGCCACAUUGGGACUGAGAUACGGCCCAGACUCCUACGGGAGGCAGCAGUGGGGAAUAUUGCACAAUGGGCGGAAGCCUGAUGCAGCAACGCCGCGUGCGGGAUGACGGCCUUCGGGUUGUAAACCGCUUCCGCCUGUGACGAAGCGUGAGUGACGGUAAUGGGUAAAGAAGCACCGGCUAACUACGUGCCAGCAGCCGCGGUGAUACGUAGGGUGCGAGCGUUGUCCGGAUUUAUUGGGCGUAAAGGGCUCGUAGGUGGUUGAUCGCGUCGGAAGUGUAAUCUUGGGGCUUAACCCUGAGCGUGCUUUCGAUACGGGUUGACUUGAGGAAGGUAGGGGAGAAUGGAAUUCCUGGUGGAGCGGUGGAGUGCGCAGAUAUCAGGAGGAACACCAGUGGCGAAGGCGGUUCUCUGGGCCUUUCCUGACGCUGAGGAGCGAAAGCGUGGGGAGCGAACAGGCUUAGAUACCCUGGUAGUCCACGCUGUAAACGGUGGGUACUAGGUGUGGGGUCCAUUCCACGGGUUCCGUGCCGUAGCUAACGCUUUAAGUACCCCGCCUGGGGAGUACGGCCGCAAGGCUAAAACUCAAAGGAAUUGACGGGGCCCCGCACAAGCGGCGGAGCAUGCGGAUUAAUUCGAUGCAACGCGUAGAACCUUACCUGGGUUUGACAUGGAUCGGGAGUGCUCAGAGAUGGGUGUGCCUCUUUUGGGGUCGGUUCACAGGUGGUGCAUGCCUGUCGUCAGCUCGUGUCGUGAGAUGUUGGGUUAAGUCCCGCAACGAGCGCAACCCUUGUUCACUGUUGCCAGCACGUUAUGGUGGGGACUCAGUGGAGACCGCCGGGGUCAACUCGGAGGAAGGUGGGGAUGACGUCAAGUCAUCAUGCCCCUUAUGUCCAGGGCUUCACGCAUGCUACAAUGGCUGGUACAGAGAGUGGCGAGCCUGUGAGGGUGAGCGAAUCUCGGAAAGCCGGUCUCAGUUCGGAUUGGGGUCUGCAACUCGACCUCAUGAAGUCGGAGUCGCUAGUAAUCGCAGAUCAGCAACGCUGCGGUGAAUACGUUCCCGGG
Molecule: ribosomal RNA, 1343 nt
Filed under: uncultured bacterium
Lineage: Bacteria
Description: 16S ribosomal RNA
Rfam family: Bacterial small subunit ribosomal RNA
Source: RNAcentral